AUUGAACGCUGGCGGCAUGCCUUACACAUGCAAGUCGAACGGCAGCGGGGACUUCGGUCCGCCGGCGAGUGGCGAACGGGUGAGUAAUGUAUCGGAACGUACCAUUCAGUGGGGGAUAACUAUCCGAAAGGAUAGCUAAUACCGCAUAUUCUGUGAGCAGGAAAGCAGGGGAUCGCAAGACCUUGCGCUGAUUGAGCGGCCGAUAUCAGAUUAGCUAGUUGGUGAGGUAACGGCUCACCAAGACUACGAUCUGUAGCGGGUCUGAGAGGAUGAGCCGCCACACUGGGACUGAGACACGGCCCAGACUCCUACGGGAGGCAGCAGUGGGGAAUUGUGGACAAUGGGCGCAAGCCUGAUCCAGCCAUGCCGCGUGAGUGAAGAAGGCCUUCGGGUUGUAAAGCUCUUUCGGCCGGGAAGAAAUCGCAUCAGCUAAUACCUGGUGUGGAUGACGGUACCGGAAUAAGAAGCACCGGCUAACUACGUGCCAGCAGCCGCAGUAA
Molecule: ribosomal RNA, 500 nt
Filed under: uncultured bacterium
Lineage: Bacteria
Description: partial 16S ribosomal RNA
Rfam family: Bacterial small subunit ribosomal RNA
Source: RNAcentral